Molecule: ribosomal RNA, 614 nt
Filed under: uncultured archaeon
Lineage: Archaea
Description: bacterial SSU rRNA
Rfam family: Archaeal small subunit ribosomal RNA
Source: RNAcentral
UUCCGGUUGAUCCUGCCGGAGGUUACUGCUAUCGGUGUUCGCCUAAGCCAUGCGAGUCAUAUGUAGCAAUACAUGGCGUACUGCUCAGUAACACGUGGAUAACCUGCCCUUGGGACCGGCAUAACCCCGGGAAACUGGGGAUAAUUCCGGAUAACGCAUAUGUGCUGGAAUGCUUUAUGCGUAAAAUGGAUUCGUCUGCCCAAGGAUGGGUCUGCGGCCUAUCAGGUAGUAGUGGGUGUAAUGUACCUACUAGCCAGCGACGGGUACGGGUUGUGAGAGCAAGAGCCCGGAGAUGGAUUCUGAGACAUGAAUCCAGGCCCUACGGGGCGCAGCAGGCGCGAAAACUUUACAAUGCGGGAAACCGUGAUAAGGGGACACCGAGUGCCAGCAUCAUAUGCUGGCUGUCCAGGUGUGUAAAAUACACCUGUUAGCAAGGGCCGGGCAAGACCGGUGCCAGCCGCCGCGGUAACACCGGCGGCCCGAGUGGUGAUCGUGAUUAUUGGGUCUAAAGGGUCCGUAGCCGGUUUGGUCAGUCCUCCGGGAAAUCUGAUAGCUUAACUAUUAGGCUUUCGGGGGAUACUGCCAGACUUGGAACCGGGAGAGGUAAGAGGUAC